Molecule: ribosomal RNA, 497 nt
Filed under: uncultured bacterium
Lineage: Bacteria
Description: partial 16S ribosomal RNA
Rfam family: Bacterial small subunit ribosomal RNA
Source: RNAcentral
GAUGAACUCUGGCGGCGUGCCUAAUACAUGCCAGUCGAGCGAACGGACGAGAAGCUUGCUUUUCUGAUGUUAGCGGCGGACGGGUGAGUAACACGUGGAUAACCUACCUAUAAGACUGGGAUAACUUCGGGAAACCGGCGCUAAUACCGGAUAAUAUUUUGAACCGCAUGGUUCAAAAGUGAAAGACGGUCUUGCUGUCACUUAUAGAUGGAUCCGCGCUGCAUUAGCUAGUUGGUAAGGUAACGGCUUACCAAGGCAACGAUGCAUAGCCGACCUGCGAGGGUGAUCGGCCACACUGGAACUGAGACACGGUCCAGACUCCUACGGGAGGCAGCAGUAGGGAAUCUUCCGCAAGGGGCGGAAGCCUGACGGAGCAGCGCCGCGUGAGGGAUGAAGGUCUUCGGAUCGUAAAACUCUGUUAUUGGGGAGGAACAUAUGUGUAAGUAACUGUGCACAUCUUGACGGUACCUAAUCAGAAAGCCACGGCUAACUACGUG